This 679-nucleotide ribosomal RNA is filed under the name Rhodonia placenta. Its description in RNAcentral is "eukaryotic LSU rRNA". It matches the Rfam family "Eukaryotic large subunit ribosomal RNA", at positions 1 to 608 of the family's 3401-position model. The record is from RNAcentral. Lineage: Eukaryota; Fungi; Basidiomycota; Agaricomycetes; Polyporales; Adustoporiaceae.
UGACCUUUGACCUCAAAUCAGGUAGGACUACCCGCUGAACUUAAGCAUAUCAAUAAGCGGAGGAAAAGAAACUAACAAGGAUUCCCCUAGUAACUGCGAGUGAAGCGGGAAAAGCUCAAAUUUAAAAUCUGGUGGUCUUUGGCCAUCCGAGUUGUAGUCUGGAGAAGUGCUUUCCGCGCUGGACCGUGUACAAGUCUCUUGGAACAGAGCGUCAUAGAGGGUGAGAAUCCCGUCUUUGACACGGACUACCAGUGCUUUGUGAUGCGCUCUCAAAGAGUCGAGUUGUUUGGGAAUGCAGCUCAAAAUGGGUGGUGAAUUCCAUCUAAAGCUAAAUAUUGGCGAGAGACCGAUAGCGAACAAGUACCGUGAGGGAAAGAUGAAAAGCACUUUGGAAAGAGAGUUAAACAGUACGUGAAAUUGCUGAAAGGGAAACGCUUGAAGUCAGUCGCGUUGUCUGGAACUCAGCCUUGCCUUGGCUUGGUGUAAUUUUCAGUUAACGGGCCAGCACCGAUUUUGAUCGUUGGAAAAAGGCUGGGGGAAUGUGGCACCUUCGGGUGUGUUAUAGCCCUUGGUCACAUACGACGGUUGGGAUCGAGGAAUGCAGCACGCCUUUAUGUCGCAGUUUAUGCCCCGUUCGUGCUAGGAUGCGCAAAUCUCAGUCGUAGGCGUAGGGGGACCC